CGUGCAGAGCAUUUUGAAAAGCAUGUCUUUGGGAUGCUUUGAUUUACUUUGAUCCUAAUGCGGAAAAGUACUGUCUUUUGGGAAGAAUGCUGAAGAGGUUCAUUUGAACGGAGAAAAUGUGGUUGAGAAGGUAGACCCAUCAAAGGUGGCAGCCGGAUUUCCCGAAGGAGAUUUGUCGAUGUCCAAUAGUAAAGUCGGUGAAUACUUCACAUCAAUAUAUGAUUAAAAAUAUUGUUAAAUAAUUUAAUAAUUUUGCAUAAUAAUUGUUAUGCUAUGAUUUUUUUUUUUUUUUUUUUUAUAAUAAAAAUUUAGAUGGGUUGAAUUAUGGAGCUCUCUUACAUUUUUCCUUAGUAUAAUGAUUGAAGAGCAGCAGAAUUUGUAUCA
Long non-coding RNA from Cicer arietinum (chickpea), 384 nucleotides. RefSeq lists it as uncharacterized. The record is from RefSeq and is a predicted model, not a curated record. Lineage: Eukaryota; Viridiplantae; Streptophyta; Magnoliopsida; Fabales; Fabaceae.